Non-coding RNA from Arachis ipaensis, 427 nucleotides. Lineage: Eukaryota; Viridiplantae; Streptophyta; Magnoliopsida; Fabales; Fabaceae. The record is from RefSeq and is a predicted model, not a curated record.
GAUUGAAUCCCACCUUAUACAUGCAGCAUUCGAAACGGAUUUGGUAACAAUUGUUUUAUGUGACAGCUAGUUGUUUUUAUUGUGGAGAGGGAACGUGUGAGGAAAAAGGGUUAUUAAACGUUGUAUGUCAUUGCAAUGAAGGCGCCGCCAAUCUCUUCAACGAUCCACACUUCCCUUGCUUUCCCAAAUGUGCUAUAAGAGCAAAUUGUAGUGAUGGAAUUGAUCUUGGCUUCGGAAGUGAUCCACCACCAUCACCACCACCACAACAAUCUGGCUCCCCUAGAUCUUCCGGCGGAUCAGGUGAAAUGCCGAACAGCUCAAGGGAACUCCAUAAACUAACUACCAUGGUGUUGGCAACAAUAUUUCUAAAUUGGAUUUAAAUUUGUAUUAACAAAUAAAUUAGUAAAAAUAAAAUUCCAUUUGUUUC